Molecule: long non-coding RNA, 219 nt
Organism: Neopelma chrysocephalum (saffron-crested tyrant-manakin)
Lineage: Eukaryota; Metazoa; Chordata; Aves; Passeriformes; Pipridae
Exons: 3
Source: RefSeq, a predicted model, not a curated record
UAACUAGGUCUUCAUGUCACUUCUCUUCCUGACAUGGACAGAGUGCUCCAUAGAAUAGAUGCCCACCAGAACAGUCCAGAGACUUUCAUCCAGUUUGUUAAAUUUAUCAAUGCCACUCUGUGACCACCUCAGCGCUAAAUCUGGCCCCAGAACUCCCCAGUGCCUUUUGUCUCCUGGACUAGAGGCAACAGGCAGAAACUGAUGCACAGAAAGUUCCAC